AGUUAAUUAAAACAAAGCAUUGCGAAGGCCCAAGGUGGGUGUUGACGCGAUGUGAUUUCUGCCCAGUGCUCUGAAUAUCAAAGUGAAGAAAUUCAAUGAAGCGCGGGUAAACGGCGGGAGUAACUAUGACUCUCUUAAGGAAUCGUUAGCCCCGAACUCUAGGGGUUAUUACGUCUCUGUAUGAGGAUCA
RNAcentral lists this non-coding RNA (190 nucleotides) under Salmo salar (Atlantic salmon). RNAcentral's name for it is "Eukaryotic large subunit ribosomal RNA". It matches the Rfam family "Eukaryotic large subunit ribosomal RNA", at positions 2139 to 2326 of the family's 3401-position model. The record is from Rfam by way of RNAcentral. Lineage: Eukaryota; Metazoa; Chordata; Actinopteri; Salmoniformes; Salmonidae.